Molecule: ribosomal RNA, 440 nt
Filed under: uncultured bacterium
Lineage: Bacteria
Description: partial 16S ribosomal RNA
Rfam family: Bacterial small subunit ribosomal RNA
Source: RNAcentral
CCUACGGGGGGCUGCAGUGGGGAAUAUUGCACAAUGGGGGCAACCCUGAUGCAGCGACGCCGCGUGAGUGAAGAAGGAUUUCGGUAUGUAAAGCUCUAUUAGCAGGGAAGAAAAUGACGGUACCUGACUAAGAUGCCCCGGCUAACUAUGGGCCAGCAGCCGCGGUAAUACGCAGGGGGCAAGCGUUAUCCGGAUUUACAGGGUGUAAAGGGAGCGUAGGCGGGAGCACAAGUCUGGAGUGAAAUGCCGGGGCUUAACCCCGGAACUGCCUUGGAUACUGUGCAGCUAGAGUGCAGGAGAGGUAAGUGGAAUUCCUAGUGUAGCGGUGAAAUGCGUAGAUAUUAGGAGGAACACCAGUGGCGAAGGCGGCUUACUGGACUGUAACUGACGUUGAGGCUCGAAAGCGUGGGGAGCAAACAGGACUAGAUACCCUUGUAGUC